GUGCCAGCCGCCGCGGUAAUACCGGCAGUUCGAGUGAUGGCCGAUCUUAUUGGGCCUAAAGCGUUCGUAGCUGGCCAGUCAAGUCCGUCGGGAAAUCCACUCGCCCAACGAGUGGGCGUCCGGCGGAAACUGCACAGCUUGGGACCGGAAGGCUCGAAGGGUACGUUCGGGGUAGGAGUGAAAUCCCAUAAUCCCGCACGGACCACCGAUGGCGAAAGCACUUCGAGAAAACGGAUCCGACAGUGAGGGACGAAAGCCAGGGUCUCCAACCGGAUUAGAAACCCGAGUAGUCC
This 293-nucleotide ribosomal RNA is filed under the name uncultured bacterium. Its description in RNAcentral is "partial 16S ribosomal RNA". It matches the Rfam family "Archaeal small subunit ribosomal RNA", at positions 455 to 747 of the family's 1478-position model. The record is from RNAcentral.